This is a non-coding RNA of Vicugna pacos (alpaca), 252 nucleotides long. The record is from RefSeq and is a predicted model, not a curated record. NCBI's taxonomy places the organism in Eukaryota, Metazoa, Chordata, Mammalia, Artiodactyla, Camelidae.
GUCCAGGCACAGUUAUGUGAGUUCUUUGAGACAGAGGGCUGUACAUUGGAUGACGUAUUAUUGACAGUUCACACAGUCCAGAUCUGAGCAUCAUCGUGUCCCCUUUCAAGGUCAAGAAGGAAUGUUAUCUUUUAAGAAGCUGUCUUGCUGAUGCUAGGAGAAUGUUGCUCUUCAUGGUUGAGCAGGUAUUUCUGCUGAUGGGGGAGGUUUGGUCGAUGUACAAUGCAGAUACACAUUUUUCAGCAGAGGGAA